CCUUUGAUCCUGGCUCAGGAUGAACGCUAGCGGCAGGCUUAACACAUGCAAGUCGAGGGGUAUUAGUUUUCGGACUAAGAGACCGGCGCACGGGUGCGUAACGCGUAUGCAAUCUACCUUUUACAGAGGGAUAGCCCAGAGAAAUUUGGAUUAAUACCUCAUAGUAUAACAUGGCCGCAUGGUCGAGUUAUUAAAGUCACAACGGUAAAAGAUGAGCAUGCGUCCCAUUAGCUAGUUGGUAAGGUAACGGCUUACCAAGGCAACGAUGGGUAGGGGUCCUGAGAGGGAGAUCCCCCACACUGGUACUGAGACACGGACCAGACUCCUACGGGAGGCAGCAGUGAGGAAUAUUGGACAAUGGGCGCAAGCCUGAUCCAGCCAUGCCGCGUGCAGGAUGACGGUCCUAUGGAUUGUAAACUGCUUUUGUACGAGAAGAAACACUCCUUCGUGAAGGAGCUUGACGGUAUCGUAAGAAUAAGGAUCGGCUAACUCCGUGCCAGCAGCCGCGGUAAUACGGAGGAUCCAAGCGUUAUCCGGAAUCAUUGGGUUUAAAGGGUCCGUAGGCGGUUUAGUAAGUCAGUGGUGAAAGCCCAUCGCUCAACGGUGGAACGGCCAUUGAUACUGCUAAACUUGAAUUAUUAGGAAGU
This 647-nucleotide ribosomal RNA is filed under the name uncultured Flavobacterium sp. Its description in RNAcentral is "bacterial SSU rRNA". It matches the Rfam family "Bacterial small subunit ribosomal RNA", at positions 10 to 658 of the family's 1533-position model. The record is from RNAcentral. Lineage: Bacteria; Pseudomonadati; Bacteroidota; Flavobacteriia; Flavobacteriales; Flavobacteriaceae.